This 329-nucleotide unclassified non-coding RNA is filed under the name soil metagenome. RNAcentral describes it as "partial contains 5.8S ribosomal RNA, internal transcribed spacer 2, and large subunit ribosomal RNA". The stretch from base 1 to 120 matches the Rfam family "5.8S ribosomal RNA", at positions 35 to 154 of the family's 154-position model. The record is from RNAcentral.
GAUGAAGAACGUAGCGAAAUGCGAUAAGUAAUGUGAAUUGCAGAAUUCAGUGAAUCAUCGAAUCUUUGAACGCACAUUGCGCCCUCUGGUAUUCCGGGGGGCAUGCCUGUUCGAGCGUCAUUAUAACCCCUCAAGCUCAGCUUGGUGUUGGGGCCUGCUGCACUGGCAGCCCUUAAAAUCAGUGGCGGCGCCAUCUGGCUCUAAGCGUAGUAAUUCUUCUCGCUAUGGAGUCCUGGUGGAUGCUUGCCAUCAACCCCCAAUUUUUCUAUGGUUGACCUCGGAUCAGGUAGGGAUACCCGCUGAACUUAAGCAUAUCAAUAAGCGGAGGA